This 226-nucleotide long non-coding RNA is filed under the name Brassica rapa (field mustard). Its description in RNAcentral is "long non-coding RNA (BRAP_LNC002926)". The record is from RNAcentral. Lineage: Eukaryota; Viridiplantae; Streptophyta; Magnoliopsida; Brassicales; Brassicaceae.
CUUAAUUAAAAGCGCUAACUGCUCGAGGUUAACUACUUUUCAGUUUUUUUGUUCUAUAAAAAACUUCAGUUAAAAUAAAGUUUACAUGAUUGUGUUAAUUAUAUCAUAGUAUAAAAUAGUCAUGCAUAGCCCAUGACCAUUGCAUUUUUACCCUACUUUUUUGGGCCGUGUGUCUCUUUGACGCCAUAAUUUAAACCUAAAAACUCUAUAGUUCGACCCUUUGUUG